UACGUAGGGUGCGAGCGUUAAUCGGAAUCACUGGGCGUAAAGCGCACGUAGGCGGAUUGCUAAGUCAGGGGUGAAAUCCUGGAGCUCAACUCCAGAACUGCCUUUGAUACUGGCAACCUUGGGUCCGGGAGAGGUGAGUGGAACUGCGAGUGUAGAGGUGAAAUUCGUAGAUAUUCGCAAGAACACCAGUGGCGAAGGCGGCUCACUGGCCCGGUACUGACGCUGAGGCACGAAAGUGUGGGGAUCAAACAGG
RNAcentral lists this ribosomal RNA (253 nucleotides) under uncultured bacterium. Its description in RNAcentral is "partial 16S ribosomal RNA". It matches the Rfam family "Bacterial small subunit ribosomal RNA", at positions 524 to 776 of the family's 1533-position model. The record is from RNAcentral.